AUGUCUGCUCAGCUGCGGCCGCUGCGCAGCGUCACUGCGGAGAUUCGGUGUUUUGGAAGUGAAGAGGAGGGUGGGGAGCUUGGGAUCCCUACCCUGGAGCUCGACUUUGCGUACCCCAGGUCCAUGAGGGACCCGGAAACACCGCAGCGCCGGGUAUGGGGGUUGUGGCGGGAGGUGUGGGCUCCUGCGCGAACUCAGCCAGAUGUUCGGGGUGGCUCCAGAUGUGCCGCGGGGCAGGGGUCAGGUCUCUCCUCCUCCCCAACCCCCAUCCUGGAACUCAGGUCUGUAAACAAACUCGGUUUUUGCCUUACCCCGGUUGCCUUUGGAAGUUCUCAAAACAAAGGCAUCCGUCCCCCAUCCUCCAAUUUGGUAGGAGCUGCCGAAUUUCUCUGCCUUUUGCUACCCUCUCCCGCCUCGCACACACUCCCUUUGCCGAGGGAUCCAAGUCCCCCACCCCCGGGAUGGCUCGGGCAUGACCUCAUCAGCAGGCUGACUAGAAGGGAGGGGGUCGAGUCCCGGAGUGGGGGACAGGGCCAGGAAAGGUCCGUGAGGGCCCUAGGAACUGCGCAGCCCACCCCAUCCCGCAACCACUCUCAAGUCAGGUACCGAAGCUGCGCUGCGCAAGCGGAAUUCCUAGGACUGCCGCGGAAGAGAGGGAGCUCUCCGUGCGCGCCCUGCGUGCCCCGCUGUCCAGAUGGGUCUCCAGCGGCGAGCGCGGCCCCUAGUGGACCCGAGCGCACUUCGGCAGGCGAGCAGCGAGGACACCCUCACUGUGGAGCGGCUGGAGAAGAUUGCAGAGGAUACCCGCAAACGGAGAUCGGUUGGCGUGCAGCACGAACCGUGGCGCGGAGCCGAGCUGCUUUCCGCUGGGCUCAGCGCCUGGGCCCUGCACUCAUUUGCUCGCUGGAGCUCUCCCCUUCGCCGGGCGCGAUCUGCAGCGCGGGCCGCCCCAAACUGCUUUAUAAGGCGCGGGCAGCCUCUUUGAUCCGCCCACGUCAGCGCGCCGAACCCCACCGGGUGGCUCCGGCGGCGCGCUGGGGGCGGGGGCGGGGUCCCUGCGGAUGCUAGGGACUCGCGCCGCCGCCGGCGGCUCGAAAAGACUUCGCGGCCCGUUGAGGUACAAAAGGGGUCUUGCUCAUCACAGCUAGCGUUUACUAAGCGUGACCGCUGCGUGCCUACUGAGUGCCAGCCGAGCGCCGGGCCCAGGUAAGGCCCAUCUCCAAUCCUCGCAGAAACCCGGCAAAGGAACUUCGACCCCAGACAAAGUCCAUCUUAGGUCCCAGUCUGGAACUCCAGCAUCACUAAGGUGCUCAUCUCGCAGCUUGGCUGCUGAUGACGUCCGCGGUCUUGAGACUCUGGCUGGUGUCCAGGUCCUGGUCAUCUCUUUAGGCCUCUGGAACCAGUUAAAUGAUCCUGCUCUCCCAGGAGAAAAGAGGCGCCAUGACUCUGCUCUGCAAGGGUGUUUUAAACCAAUACCAGAAUGUGCUCAAGGAUAAUCUAGCUCAUUAGUAGAAAGGAAAAUGGACUUGUCUCCCCCCCCCCCCAUGCUCUUUUCCUCAUUCUUUCCAGCUGCCCAAUACCUGGCCACAGGUACCUCCACAUGCAACACACACCUGGGCCUACAAUGUCUAUAGCAAACUCCCAGCCAAACAAAUACUACCCCAGUUCUACAGCCAGUCCCUCUUUCCACACAGGGCUGAGACACAUUACCACAAAUGGUUACAGGUUCACUACGUGGGAGAUGCUUAGACACAUCAUAUGCCCACACACACUCAGGAGCACACAGGUGUGAAGUGGCUGUACUCAUGUCAUUAGGAUGAGGCUGAAUCUAUAGACCACCCCCAACCAGUUCAGGCACAAACACAAGUUUCCACACAUGCAGUCAGAACUCACACAUAGCUCUCAAGCAUGCAGAACUAAAUGCACACCUACUCCUGCACACAGUCAUGGGGAUAUCCUUGUGAACACAUCCCCAUCUCCCAUCCCAGAGCACUGGGGUCAAUCUCAUUACAAAAGAAGUGGGAAAAUAGUGGGGCUUUGGGUGGCGUAUUUAGGAGGUAAAGGAGGA
Molecule: long non-coding RNA, 2068 nt
Organism: Urocitellus parryii (Arctic ground squirrel)
Lineage: Eukaryota; Metazoa; Chordata; Mammalia; Rodentia; Sciuridae
Source: Ensembl